Molecule: long non-coding RNA, 1164 nt
Organism: Talpa occidentalis (Iberian mole)
Lineage: Eukaryota; Metazoa; Chordata; Mammalia; Eulipotyphla; Talpidae
Exons: 5
Source: RefSeq, a predicted model, not a curated record
CCAAGUUGCUGAGCAGGGAAAACACUAAAACAAACAAACAAACAAACAAAUAAAGGGCAACCUGGGAAGACAUGGAGGAGGCACAUGGAAGGACAGAGACUAGUGAAUAAGAAGCUCCAAUUGCUUCCCAGGCUUGGACUUGUACCAGGGACUUGAGGAACGUGGACGGCGACCCUUGAAAGAGACAGAGAAGUGGGUGAGAAAACGUAAGACAGUAAGGAUAUUAAGCAAUUUGCUAAAUACUUUGGGUACUUGGAACCUCUGUGUUCUCGACUCCCCAGUGCCUUCUGCUUGCUCAUGCUAUUCUUUGCAGGGUUGCACCUCAGAAUCUCCAGAAAUUUUUGGCAUUUACGUGGCUGAGCUGAUGCCGACUCACCUCACCUAGGAUGGGCCGAGCACUAACACCUUACAGAGAUCUUCUAAGAAAACAACGCCCAAAAGAGAUUUCAUGCAUGAAGCUAGUCAUUUCUCUAUAUUUAUGAGGACAUUUCCAACUUGAUGCUUUCAAAAAUACAUGUGGAGACAGUUGGAAGUUACCAGAUGGUAAAAUGUGGAAGACACUAGCUGACCAGCCUCCCACGUGGCGCAGACCUGCCUCUGUAAACAGUUUGAAGACUGUCCUUUGCACAAUCACCAAGACUGGGAUCUUCACGAAACAAUGGAUGUGGGCUGUUUGGACCUUGCCUACUAUUGGCAUUUUGUUGUUUAUCAUCAUCUAACAAAUAUGACUCUCAGGUGGGGAUAUGCUGCUGGUAGGAACAAACGAUUUCUGGAGUGAGUUUUUACUCUGAUUUUUUGCUGCUUAUAUACUUACUGGAAGUAUAAAUUUAACCUUGUAGACUUCUAUUUGAUAGUUCAGACACGUUCCCUAUACAUCCCCAAAUGUCAGUUGUUCUCUCUGUAAAACUUGCAAUGGAAUUUUUACUGGCACACUGUGUAGAUUCAACCUUUUUGAUUUUUCCUCCGAUCUCUAUCAGCAAAAUGAGGUUUGGGAUUUGAUGGGGUCAUGUCAGAAUCAAAUUCCCUUAAUUCUCAUUCUAACACAAUGUUCUAUCUAGUUGAAAGGUCUUCUGUUCUCUUGACACUUAUUUCUUCAACAUGGGAUGUUUCAGAGAAGGAGGUAUUAGAGUCUUGGGUUUUAAACAUCAAUCUGAGCUCUGGCAG